Molecule: long non-coding RNA, 419 nt
Filed under: Capra hircus (goat)
Lineage: Eukaryota; Metazoa; Chordata; Mammalia; Artiodactyla; Bovidae
Description: lncRNA (ENSCHIG00000000613.1)
Source: RNAcentral
GCCAGUAAAAGCAGAAGCAGAAACUGACCUGCGCUGAUCGUUAUUCACAUGUCAAUUUGGAGGAUUUGGAUCUGAAUGUCUUGUGAUCUGUCUGCACAGCAAAUAACCCAUAUGGCUGACCUUUGCCUCCAGCGUCUGAACCAAUACCACAAAACAAAAAGCCUCUACUCUGAGCAGAUUGUCCGGCAUGAUCUGAGGCCACCAGUGCUUCAUCUAAAACAGUGAAUGAAAAUCAGUGGUUUCCACAUGGCCUUCUAGAAUUAACACACACCACUCAUUUUCCAGGGACAUGCAUCUGCCUGGAAACUAGAGUUUAACGAGCACUUGACCUUCGCCUAACCUGCCCCUUUGUUUUGCGCAGUAUUUUUGGAGAUCAGCUGUUUCCGGGGCUGCCCUGGUGGCUCAGAUGGUAAAGAAAG